AGUGGAAUCAUCAGCGUAAUAAAUAAAUAAAAAAAAUCUGGAUUUGCAACAAUUAUGCAACAAUAAUUAGAUGCAACAUACAUAUGCAUGAAUUUAGCAAGCGCUGAUCAGCAAACUGAGAAGUCCAAUUUGGAACAGGUGUGUCGGGGCGGGGCGACACCUGUUGUGGUGCGCAGGUAGGAGCUAAUGCUAACUUACUUAGCAACCAGUUUAACGGCGGCCGCGUGCUAUGGAGUUAACGGAUUUCGAUUUGUUUGCCAAGUUUAUUGCGCACAAUGAGAAAAGCAAAACGAGAGCUUCGUGGGAUUUUUCUUCUCUGGACUGGAUGGUGGAGCAAUGACGUCUCUUCAAAAAAUAUCCAGAUAUCCAUUCCAUCCAGGAGCCUUUCAAGGACUGACUGACAUUGGAGCUUUUUCAAACUUGCUUCGUGAGCUCAAUGUGUCACAUUCUGGAUGGAUGAAACAUCAAUCAAAAGGUGCUGCCCGCCUCGGAGAGAUUAGAUGAUGGCGGCUGCCCCCCUCCACCGGAUUCCUUUGCCACUUGGAAUGUCUCGCAUGCAGCGGAGGACGGAGCUGUGCCGGCGUCCUGAGGCGAGGGUUUCCUCACGGCUCUUUUGAAGGCAAAGUAGAUCUCCAUCCUCUGCAUCCAUCUGCAAACCGGUGACACUCUGAGACUUUGGAUCCACGAAGAUGUGAAAUAUGCCUGCGCAAUAAGAAGAAACGUGCGGGUUGCUAUCGCUGCAGUCUGAGCAGGAUGCACUUAUCCGUGCGCUGAAUGGCGCAACAGCAUGCCUUUGAUUAUUCAUGGCAGAUGGAUCGACGACCCAC
Molecule: long non-coding RNA, 827 nt
Organism: Syngnathus acus (greater pipefish)
Lineage: Eukaryota; Metazoa; Chordata; Actinopteri; Syngnathiformes; Syngnathidae
Exons: 6
Source: RefSeq, a predicted model, not a curated record